Molecule: ribosomal RNA, 407 nt
Filed under: uncultured prokaryote
Also listed under: 1 other name
Description: bacterial SSU rRNA
Rfam family: Bacterial small subunit ribosomal RNA
Source: RNAcentral
UGGGGAAUAUUGCGCAAUGGGGGAAACCCUGACGCAGCAACGCCGCGUGAAGGAUGAAGGUUUUCGGAUCGUAAACUUCUUUGAUUGGGGACGAAGAAAGUGACGGUACCCAAAAAACAAGCCACGGCUAACUACGUGCCAGCAGCCGCGGUAAUACGUAGGUGGCGAGCGUUGUCCGGAAUUACUGGGUGUAAAGGGCGUGUAGGCGGGAAUGCAAGUCAGAUGUGAAAUACCAUGGCUCAACUGUGGGGCUGCACCUGAAACUGUGUUUCUUGAGUGCUGGAGAGGAAAGCGGAAUUCCUAGUGUAGCGGUGAAAUGCGUAGAUAUUAGGAGGAACACCAGUGGCGAAGGCGGCUUUCUGGACAGUAACUGACGCUGAGGCGCGAAAGCGUGGGGAGCAAACAGG